GCAGCAGUAGGGAAUCUUCCGCAAUGGACGAAAGUCUGACGGAGCAACGCCGCGUGAGCGAAGAAGGCCUUCGGGUCGUAAAGCUCUGUUGUUAGGGAAGAACAAGUAACGUAGUAACUGGCGUUACGAUGACGGUACCUAACGAGAAAGCCACGGCUAACUACGUGCCAGCAGCCGCGGUAAUACGUAGGUGGCAAGCGUUGUCCGGAAUUAUUGGGCGUAAAGCGCGCGCAGGCGGUUCCUUAAGUCUGAUGU
This 255-nucleotide ribosomal RNA is filed under the name Anoxybacillus sp. ST4. Its description in RNAcentral is "partial 16S ribosomal RNA". It matches the Rfam family "Bacterial small subunit ribosomal RNA", at positions 348 to 595 of the family's 1533-position model. Lineage: Bacteria; Bacillati; Bacillota; Bacilli; Caryophanales; Anoxybacillaceae. The record is from RNAcentral.